Molecule: long non-coding RNA, 2200 nt
Organism: Balaenoptera musculus (blue whale)
Lineage: Eukaryota; Metazoa; Chordata; Mammalia; Artiodactyla; Balaenopteridae
Exons: 4
Source: RefSeq, a predicted model, not a curated record
UUUUUUUUUUUUAAACCAGCCUCUAGGAUUUUUCUAUAUUACUUUUCUUGAUCAUAUAAGUUUCAUGCUUCAGCUGUUCAUGCUUCUAUAACUGCAUCUGCAUUUCUGUCUCUAGUCCCAGGCUGAUUUCAAACAAUAUCAUCAGUGUUAGAGCAUUAGAAGGAAAAAAAAGAAAACUCCAAGUAGAUUGAGUGGCAAGAAAAGAAUGAGACAACAUCUGGGCCAUCAAAAGCCCCUACUGCUCAAACCUCCUGGUUUGCAAAUGAACUUAUAGUCCAGGAUCACUGUUUUACUCAAUGCCUGACAUGUGCUUGGAGAAUUUAGAUCACUGUUAAAUAGACUGAAGAGCAUCAAAAGAAAUUGCGGGAAGACCAGAUAGGAGGCUUUUGUGGGAAUCUAGUUUUUUACAGAAACCAGGUUAGGAAGAGACCUGAACAGUAUAUGAUACUGCAGCUAACAUCCAUGGUAAUUCAGUGGGCUGUGCGUGGCUGGGGAAGACUUCGUGAAGAUUCAGUGGGGUUGGAUCUUGAAGAAUGACUAGGACCUAGAAAACAGAAAGAAGGUUUGGAGUCUUUUCAGCCCCAUUUGCAAUCUCUUUAGCUUUUAGAGUAAUGUAGUGGGGAGAAAUAGCAAUGAUUUUCUGAUUGUAGAUGACUUCAUGAACAUCACAAAGGAAAAGAAAUUGAGUUGAAUGCCAGACUUUUGUAAUUUCCUAGGUUUGUGGAUAGAGGCAAAUUAUGUUCCUGACUGGUCGAACAGCAAAACCUUCUCUCAAGAAGUGUCAUUUGCCCAAACCCACUAGCCAAACUCAUCCAAGUCCUUGGAGAAAUGGCUCCGUCAGCCAGAGGAUGCUGGUGCCUUCAAGUCCUACCCACUGAGAGCAGGAGGGGUAGGAGGCCGCCUCCUAGAACCACUCAACAUCUUCAGUGCUUCUCACUUCUUCAGGGUCUUUAGGGCGGACACUGAGAAUCAGUUGCCAAACAUGAAGCAUGGCCUUCUGAAGACAUGUUUGAAGGUGGCUCCUCUGCCUGCUGUGGGACUGUAGGCGAAUCACUAAGUGCUCUGGAUCUUACCCCUCUUUGGUCAGACGCUGGAAUGGGUGCAGGUUCUUGAAGACCACUGCCAACUCUGGGACAGAGCUUUUAUUAGAAAAUUUGUGUUCACCAACAAGUUCCUGGAGUUCUAUAAAACCUUGUGGAUUUGAAUACAAACAAAGGUAACUGUAUCAAAGGCUUUUCAUUUCAUAUCGUGAAGUGUGUUGUUAUGCACAGUUCAUUCUAUUAAAAAACGAAACAUGUAGAACUAAAUUAAAAUGCAGAGUGUGGAUCCCUCAGGGGGGACUUCUGAAAUACUUGGCAUGAGAUGUUGCAUAGAUUUCUUGUUAACCAGAAAAUGAUUUUAGCGAGCAACCCUUCCUGAGGCCUCGGGAAGGAGCUGCGGCGUCGUGAGCCUCUGAAGCUGCAAGGUGGGUGCUCGAUAUUACACACAUUUAUCUCGGUUGCCAGAAACUCUACAUUGCCAUCUGUCUCAAGCUUCGCCAGAAGCUACCUGUGGCUUAAAGGCCAGAAAGGUCUUGACAACAAGGGGGCUUAGGGAAAUAAUGUGGAAAUAAAAUAUUUGCAAGUUUUUUGUUAACUCUCCUCUUGACACUGUGUGAGGUGUUUAGCUCUUUCUCAGGUUUCAUGCCGUGAGGAUACUUUCGUGAUGAUUUUUUAAAAAGACAGAAUCAAUUUCCUUUGGCAGAUGCAGUCAUAACACAGUGUCUAGGAAUACAGUUAUCAGCCCUUAUAUUCAAGCUAUUUGGUAGUGCUCUCGAUGGAGAAGUGAACAGCUGGGGGAAGAGGUCUCCGUGAGAGGAACUGAAAUUGUUCACUAACACUGGGCUCCUCUAUAGCCAAAGGGAAUAAGCAAACUGAAACCAUCAUCAGCAGAGUUCAGAAAAAUCCUCCAUUAGGCUACAUUUCCAGUAAUUGUCUCAAUGCAGUGGCAUUAAUACUGACAUCUGCCCCUUCUGUCUUCUGCAACUGCAUUCUAAAGAAACAGCUUUGGAAAUCAGAUUUAAAAUUGUGGCUACUCAGUGAACUGUGGACCACUAAGGCCUUAACUAGGUAUGUGAAGAGGAAAUGGAAAUUGCCCAUGUAAAUGAAAAUGUCACAGUAAGUACGUUGUGUUUUUAUUUCAGGCUUAAAAGCCAAAGCCU